This 429-nucleotide ribosomal RNA is filed under the name Chloroflexota bacterium. RNAcentral describes it as "Chloroflexi bacterium partial 16S ribosomal RNA". It matches the Rfam family "Bacterial small subunit ribosomal RNA", at positions 355 to 776 of the family's 1533-position model. Lineage: Bacteria; Bacillati; Chloroflexota. The record is from RNAcentral.
UGGGGAAUAUUGCACAAUGGGCGCAAGCCUGAUGCAGCCAUGCCGCGUGUGUGAAGAAGGCCUUCGGGUUGUAAAGCACUUUCAGCGGGGAGGAAGGCGUUAAGGUUAAUAACCUUGGCGAUUGACGUUACCCGCAGAAGAAGCACCGGCUAACUCCGUGCCAGCAGCCGCGGUAAUACGGAGGGUGCAAGCGUUAAUCGGAAUUACUGGGCGUAAAGCGCACGCAGGCGGUCUGUCAAGUCGGAUGUGAAAUCCCCGGGCUCAACCUGGGAACUGCAUUCGAAACUGGCAGGCUAGAGUCUUGUAGAGGGGGGUAGAAUUCCAGGGGUAGCUGUGAAAUGCGUAGAGAUCUGGAGGAAUACCGGUGGCGAAGGCGGCCCCCUGGACAAAGACUGACGCUCAGGUGCGAAAGCGUGGGGAGCAAACAGG